This 257-nucleotide ribosomal RNA is filed under the name uncultured bacterium. RNAcentral's name for it is "partial 16S ribosomal RNA". It matches the Rfam family "Bacterial small subunit ribosomal RNA", at positions 524 to 776 of the family's 1533-position model. The record is from RNAcentral.
GACGAACUGUGCAAACGUUUAUUCGGAAUCACUGGGCUUGAAGAGUGCGUAGGCGGUUUCGUAAGUAGGGUGUGAAAGCCCCCCAGCUCAACUGGGGAACUGCGUCCUAAAACUGCGAGGCUGGAGUGAGGUAGGGGUGUGUGGAACUUCCGGUGGAGCGGUGAAAUGUGUUGAUAUCGGAAGGAACGCCGGUGGCGAAAGCGACACACUGGGGUCUCAACUGACGCUGAGGCACGAAAGCCAGGGGAGCGAACGGG